AAUAGAUACCCCGGUAGUCCACGCCGUAAACGAUGAGUGCUAAGUGUUAGGGGGUUUCCGCCCCUUAGUGCUGCAGCUAACGCAUUAAGCACUCCGCCUGGGGAGUACGGCCGCAAGGCUGAAACUCAAAGGAAUUGACGGGGGCCCGCACAAGCGGUGGAGCAUGUGGUUUAAUUCGAAGCAACGCGAAGAACCUUACCAGGUCUUGACAUCUCCUGACCGCCCUGGAGACAGGGUCUUCCCUUCGGGGACAGGAUGACAGGUGGUGCAUGGUUGUCGUCAGCUCGUGUCGUGAGAUGUUGGGUUAAGUCCCGCAACGAGCGCAACCCUUGUCCUUAGUUGCCAGCAUUCAGUUGGGCACUCUAAGGAGACUGCCGGCUAAAAGUCGGAGGAAGGUGGGGAUGACGUCAAAUCAUCAUGCCCCUUAUGACCUGGGCUACACACGUGCUACAAUGGGCGGUACAGAGGGUCGCGAACCCGCGAAGGGGGAGCCAAUCCCAAAAAACCCGCUCUCAGUUCGGAUUGCAGGCUGCAACUCG
Molecule: ribosomal RNA, 539 nt
Filed under: uncultured bacterium
Lineage: Bacteria
Description: bacterial SSU rRNA
Rfam family: Bacterial small subunit ribosomal RNA
Source: RNAcentral